AGAGUUUGAUCAUGGCUCAGAGCGAACGCUGGCGGCAGGCUUAACACAUGCAAGUCGAGCGGGCGUAGCAAUACGUCAGCGGCAGACGGGUGAGUAACGCGUGGGAACGUACCUUUUGGUUCGGAACAACACAGGGAAACUUGUGCUAAUACCGGAUAAGCCCUUACGGGGAAAGAUUUAUCGCCGAAAGAUCGGCCCGCGUCUGAUUAGCUAGUUGGUGUGGUAACGGCGCACCAAGGCGACGAUCAGUAGCUGGUCUGAGAGGAUGAUCAGCCACAUUGGGACUGAGACACGGCCCAAACUCCUACGGGAGGCAGCAGUGGGGAAUAUUGGACAAUGGGCGCAAGCCUGAUCCAGCCAUGCCGCGUGAGUGAUGAAGGCCCUAGGGUUGUAAAGCUCUUUUGUGCGGGAAGAUAAUGACGGUACCGCAAGAAUAAGCCCCGGCUAACUUCGUGCCAGCAGCCGCGGUAAUACGAAGGGGGCUAGCGUUGCUCGGAAUCACUGGGCGUAAAGGGUGCGUAGGCGGGUCUUUAAGUCAGGGGUGAAAUCCUGGAGCUCAACUCCAGAACUGCCUUUGAUACUGAGGAUCUUGAGUUCGGGAGAGGUGAGUGGAACUGCGAGUGUAGAGGUGAAAUUCGUAGAUAUUCGCAAGAACACCAGUGGCGAAGGCGGCUCACUGGCCCGAUACUGACGCUGAGGCACGAAAGCGUGGGGAGCAAACAGGAUUAGAUACCCUAGUAGUCC
Molecule: ribosomal RNA, 744 nt
Filed under: uncultured bacterium
Lineage: Bacteria
Description: bacterial SSU rRNA
Rfam family: Bacterial small subunit ribosomal RNA
Source: RNAcentral